GCAAGACGUGCGAGAAAGUAUCUUCGGAUAUGAGUAGAGCGGCGGACGGGUGAGUAACGCGUAGGAAUCUACCUAGUAGAAGGGGAUAGCCCGGGGAAACCCGGAUUAAUACCGUAUACCUCCUUCGGGAGAAAGAAGGCCUCUCUUUGAAGCUUUCGCUACUAGAUGAGCCUGCGUAAGAUUAGCUUGUUGGUGAGGUAAAGGCUCACCAAGGCUACGAUCUUUAGCUGGUCUGAGAGGACGAUCAGCCACAUUGGGACUGAGACACGGCCCAGACUCCUACGGGAGGCAGCAGUGGGGAAUAUUGGACAAUGGGUGCAAGCCUGAUCCAGCCAUACCGCGUGUGUGAAGAAGGCCUUCGGGUUGUAAAGCACUUUAAGCAGGGAGAAAAAGUUAUAAGCUAAUAUCUUAUGACCUUGAUGUUACCUGCAGAAUAAGCACCGGCUAAUUCCGUGCCAGCAGCCGCGGUAAUACGGAAGGUGCAAGCGUUAAUCGGAAUUACUGGGCGUAAAGCGCGCGUAGGUGGUUUGUUAAGUUGGAUGUGAAAGCCCUGGGCUCAACCUAGGAACUGCAUCCAAAACUAACUCACUAGAGUACGAUAGAGGGAGGUAGAAUUCAUAGUGUAGCGGUGGAAUGCGUAGAUAUUAUGAAGAAUACCAGUGGCGAAGGCGGCCUCCUGGAUCUGUACUGACACUGAGGUGCGAAAGCGUGGGUAGCGAACAGGAUUAGAUACCCUGGUAGUCCACGCCGUAAACGAUGACCACUAGCUGUUGGG
This 775-nucleotide ribosomal RNA is filed under the name uncultured Gammaproteobacteria bacterium. Its description in RNAcentral is "bacterial SSU rRNA". It matches the Rfam family "Bacterial small subunit ribosomal RNA", at positions 57 to 827 of the family's 1533-position model. The record is from RNAcentral. Lineage: Bacteria; Pseudomonadati; Pseudomonadota; Gammaproteobacteria.